GGUGGCUCAGUGGUAGAGUGCUUGCCUUGCAUGCAUGAGGCUCUGGGUUCGAUUCCUGUGCACCA
RNAcentral lists this transfer RNA (65 nucleotides) under Dipodomys ordii (Ord's kangaroo rat). It matches the Rfam family "tRNA". Rfam says of the family: Transfer RNA (tRNA) molecules are approximately 80 nucleotides in length. Lineage: Eukaryota; Metazoa; Chordata; Mammalia; Rodentia; Heteromyidae. The record is from Rfam by way of RNAcentral.